GACUCCUGAGAACCCUCUGGGAGCACAACCACCCCAGACCCCCUUUUUUCCCUCCUCCGGCCCAGUUCAGGGACAGGGGUCAGUUUGAAUUUCCAUCAGUGUUGCAACAGGGCGGGUGUCUGGCGGGAGUUAAUCCUGGAGCGGAGGGGGUGGUGGCACUAGAGCCGUCUGCGCUGCCGGGGGCCGGGGACUCUGCGACGCCUGCUCCUUCCCGGGGCUCCGAGAGCCAGCAGGUCGCGAGUGGGAGGGGUGGGGGAGUCACUGCUGUGACGCGGCCGCCUCUGCGGGAAAACGCCGUGUCCCGGCACUGCACCAGCCGCGGGGAAGGGGCCCCGGCGGCCGACGGGUCUCGGGCGCAGCGGAAAAAGCCCCCAGGAGAGACUAUCAAUCACAAGCAGAGGCUCUGUGUCUACACCCUGCCGGUGGCUGGCUGGGACAGGGGACCAGCUGUUGCCAGGAGGCCCACCCGCUGGUGCGUGGUAACCACUCUGCUGUCAGUCCCCAACCCACAUCAAGGAUGACCCCUUCCACUACUCUCCUUUUUCUUCCCACCACUUACCCACUCAAUUUCUCCCUCCCUCUCAGAAAUUGAGGUUCUUUUGCAAUAGUGAAAAUUGCCAUUAAUGCUCUCAUCUUCAUAAAGCAAAC
RNAcentral lists this long non-coding RNA (648 nucleotides) under Dasypus novemcinctus (nine-banded armadillo). RNAcentral's name for it is "lncRNA (ENSDNOG00000051216.1)". Lineage: Eukaryota; Metazoa; Chordata; Mammalia; Cingulata; Dasypodidae. The record is from RNAcentral.